UUAGGAAUAUUCCACAAUGGGGGCAACCCUGAUGGAGCAACGCCGCGUGGAGGAUGAAGGCCUUCGGGUUGUAAACUUCUUUUCUUUGUGAUGAAUAUGACAGUAACAGAGGAAUAAGGGUCUGCUAACUACGUGCCAGCAGCCGCGGUCAUACGUAGGACCCAAGCGUUAUCCGGAUUGACUGGGCGUAAAGAGUUGCGUAGGUGGUGGUUCAAGCGAAUGGUGAAAUCUUGUGGCUCAACCAUAAGGCUAUUAUUCGAACUGGACUACUCGAUAACAGGAGAGGUAUCUGGAAUUCCCAGUGUAGGAGUGAAAUCCGUAGAUAUUGGGAGGAACACCAAUGGCGUAGGCAGGAUACUGGACUGUUUCUGACACUAAGGCACGAAAGCGUGGGGAGCGAACUGG
Molecule: ribosomal RNA, 405 nt
Filed under: uncultured bacterium
Lineage: Bacteria
Description: bacterial SSU rRNA
Rfam family: Bacterial small subunit ribosomal RNA
Source: RNAcentral